UGGUUUUUGGUUUGUAACGGGUGGUUGGAUGUCUGCUUGAGCAGCAACUUCCAUGCGUUCUUACCUCUUCAGUUGUGUUACAAGGUUAAUUUGCCUUGAACAUGGUGGGUUGCUGUGUUGCAUACCUAAUUGAUGGCAUUGUGCUGUUUGAAUAAAGUUUCCUUUCGUUAGGCGUCGCUUGCGGUGCCAACGAACCUUGAAGCUGUCUUUGUGGUCCAUGUUUUCAAUGCGGAUGCGUUGAUGGCAUGGCCUAUGAAGUGUUGCUUGGUCUCUUGGAUAUGGAACCUGGUGUGGGCACAUGGUCAGACAUGAUCAUGUAUUUUGCCCUACAUGAGCGUUUCGCUUCUCUAGACGACUGUCUUUCUUGCAUUGACUUGUUGGUGCAGGGUAGGCUAAGUCGAAGAGGAAUGCUACCUGGU
RNAcentral lists this unclassified non-coding RNA (419 nucleotides) under Lactuca saligna. Its description in RNAcentral is "contains 3' external transcribed spacer, ETS". Lineage: Eukaryota; Viridiplantae; Streptophyta; Magnoliopsida; Asterales; Asteraceae. The record is from RNAcentral.